GAUGAACGCUGGCGGCGUGCCUAAUACAUGCAAGUCGAGCGAACGGACGAGAAGCUUGCUUUUCUGAUGUUAGCGGCGGACGGGUGAGUAACACGUGGAUAACCUACCUAUAAGACUGGGAUAACUUCGGGAAACCGGAGCUAAUACCGGAUAAUAUUUUGAACCGCAUGGUUCAAAAGUGAAAGACGGUCUUGCUGUCACUUAUAGAUGGAUCCGCGCUGCAUUAGCUAGUUGGUAAGGUAACGGCUUACCAAGGCAACGAUGCAUAGCCGACCUGAGAGGGUGAUCGGCCACACUGGAACUGAGACACGGUCCAGACUCCUACGGGAGGCAGCAGUAGGGAAUGUUCCGCAAUGGGCGAAAGCCUGACGGAGCAACGCCGCGUGAGUGAUGAAGGUCUUCGGAUCGUAAAGCUCUGUUAUUAGGGAAGAACAUAUGUGUAAGUAACUGUGAACAUCUUGACGGUACCUAAUCAGAAAGCCACGGCUAACUACGUG
Molecule: ribosomal RNA, 497 nt
Filed under: uncultured bacterium
Lineage: Bacteria
Description: partial 16S ribosomal RNA
Rfam family: Bacterial small subunit ribosomal RNA
Source: RNAcentral